This is a non-coding RNA of Leptonychotes weddellii (Weddell seal), 1824 nucleotides long. NCBI's taxonomy places the organism in Eukaryota, Metazoa, Chordata, Mammalia, Carnivora, Phocidae. The record is from RefSeq and is a predicted model, not a curated record.
CCCGGCCCUCCAUUCCUAUCCCAUCAUUGUUCCCUGGACCUGUGCCCAGUGCAGAGGGACUGGCACGUGUAACAGUUUCCAUCUCUGCCCCAUCAUAACUCCUUUGUGGGGCCCCAUUGUAGUUCUCAUCGCUACUUUCUAUGCCAGCCCCAACAAUGUAUCCCAUCACUGCAUCUAUCACUGAACAUCAUGACUGUCUCCUUUAUGAGCCUCCGUCACUGCCUCCAUCCUGGUCCCUUGGCAUUGCCCUCCCCUGAUUUAUCAUCCAGGCCUUAGUUUGUACCCUGCAUCUCUGCAGCUGCCUGUAGGUGAUGCCAGGGCGUCUCUGGGUUGUGACCUCUUUCUUGUAAGGCAGGAGUCUUGAAAGACAAGAGACACAUAACCAAAACCCAGCAAGGCAGCCCAGAGUCAGGUCAGGCGAGUACCAGAGCAGGACAUAGCCCAAACUAGCACUCUCCACCCACCUUGACUGGUUAUUACCAGCCACUCACCAAGUCCCCAUGCUAGGUUUCCAAGCAGCUGUUGCUCUUCUGAUCUGAUCACGGGAGAGACACCUGGCGAAGGAGGGGUACAAGAGAUAACCUUGGCUCAGUAACUGACAUAAGCUGUGGAGCAGAAAGGAGCCAUGGACCCAUCUCUCCCAUGUGUACAUUGAGCAAGUGCCCAUUGAGCUCCGCUGUGUACCAGGCAUCUAUCUUCUGAGCAGGACUCAGUGGGAAGCAGAUGGACAAGGUGCAUGGCCUUUGCGUCUGCCGCCACCACACAGCUGGUACCCACUGUGAGCGCUGCCAGGACCUGCACCGGGACCACCCAUGGCAUACAGCAGAGCCUGGGCACCCUCAGCCUGCCAGGAACGCAAGUGCAAUGGACAUGCCCGCAGUUGUCACUUUGACAUGGCCUUGUAUCUGGCAUCUGGCAAUGUGAGUGGAGGCAUGUGUGACGCAUGUCAGCACAACACAGCUGGGUGCCACUGUGAGCUCUGCCAGUCCUGCUGAGAUCCCAGGGAGGAUCCCCGGUCCCUUCAUUCUUGCAAAUGUGAGCCCUCCAAUCCCCAAUCCCAACUCUGACCUCGAUCCUUCAGGUCCGUGGUGACCUCUGACCUAACUCUGUCCUCACCUCUGACCCAUGACGCAGCCUGUAACUGGGACCGUGGGGGGACCCUGGAAGGGGGUUUGUGUGAUGCCCACACAGAUGAGACCUGUGGUCUCCUCUCUGGGCAGUGUUGCUGCAAAGUUCAUGUCUGGAGCCAGCGCUGUGACUUCUGCCGACCUGGUCACUGUGGCCUCAGCCCCACCCAAACAGAAGGUUGUCAGCCUGAGUUAUCCUGGGAGCAGACCCCAAACCCCAUGUCCUUGCUCUGCCCCCAGUCACUGCCAUAAGAACACAUGCAUGCACCUACCUCUGCAGCAGUCCCAAUAGCACCCUGGGAGCCCUGUGCCCUAGCCUGCAGGUGUCGUGACCCCUGGGGCCGGGUCCCUGGCACUCAUGCCUGUGAUCCCUCCAUCGGUGCCUGUCACUGGCAAACGCUUUGUCUCUGGGUGGGACUGCAGCUGUUGUCUGGUAAGCCUUGACCCACCUUCUGAUUUGACCUUGAUCUUGGGCAUUGAGCUUCUAGAAGCUGAUAAGUACAAGGCUAUAAUCAGUGUGAAUGUAGACUGAGCCUUACACAUGGGUUGGUUCAACUCCCUGAUCUGGUUAUCGGGGUCAAUGCCACCUCAGCUAGCUGAACCAGCAUAUGCCCUCAGGUGGGAGCUUUGGGGGCAUAAAAAGGAAAAGCGAUAAAACAAGUUACAACAGUAUUGGUUUAAAGAACUAGGUUUAAAA